Molecule: transfer RNA, 47 nt
Filed under: Leposoma scincoides
Lineage: Eukaryota; Metazoa; Chordata; Lepidosauria; Squamata; Gymnophthalmidae
Description: partial tRNA-His
Source: RNAcentral
UUUAUAUAGUUUAGACAAAACACUAGAUUGUGAUUCUAGUAACAGAG